RNAcentral lists this long non-coding RNA (1327 nucleotides) under Elaeis guineensis (African oil palm). RNAcentral describes it as "long non-coding RNA (EGUI_LNC058677)". The record is from RNAcentral. Lineage: Eukaryota; Viridiplantae; Streptophyta; Magnoliopsida; Arecales; Arecaceae.
ACGUCAUUUUCCAUCUAAGGCAAAUAAAAAGUCUACAAAAAUGUUUAGAAACCCUACGAAGAUGCUUAAAAUCUGCAUGCAGCUUACUCAGCUCCACUAGACACAAACAAGAAACAUGUGGUCAACCAGACUAUUACUUCAAUAAUAAAGAUUUCCACAUAUGCACAUAACCUCAGAUUUUUCCGACAAUUGAACACUAAUCAAACUUCCAACACUUUACAACUAAAUGAUAUAUUGCUCAAUUGUCACAAAUGUAGGGAAAUGUAACAUAAACUUAGACUUUCCUAUAUGUAGAACCUGACAUGCAUUAGUUACCUGCAAUUUGUUCACAAUUACCCUUGAAAUCUUUAAGGCUUCUAAAAAAAUAAAUCUAGGCUCAAUCAAAUUAACCGUUUAAGACUUCUAUGGUGAUCAAUAAUCUGAACAUGAUAGUUCAAACUAAUCACGUCUAUCCCAAUUUAACUUUGAAUAAUAAAAACUAUGUUAUUAUCCAUCAUACAUGAAGUUUCAGUAUCAUCCCUGUAAAUAGCAUGAUGAUAUUCUUGAUCCAUUCUUCCAAGACAUGAAGGUGUGAUGCACUUCACUAUGCCUUCCUUGCCCUAUCAAGGUUAUUGCAAAAAUUAAUUGAGGCAUGAGUAGAUCCUUUACAAGAAAGGAUCCAGAUAAUGCUGAAGAAAGAAUUUUAAUGGUUUGACAUAAUAUUCUAUGUCAGCAUUUCUAUGAACAACUGAAUCACCAUAUCUUCAUCACAAAAAGUCCAGUCAUGACCUCUUCUUCUUGUGGUGGUAUAUUUGAUUAAUUUUCAUGAAGAAAGGGAAAAAAAAUCAACAAAUGAAAAAUUUACCUUCUCAAGUUAAGACCUGGAAAGAUUGCUAGGAGAGUAGGAAGUGAUAGACAGGAAGGAAUAGUUAUUAGGUACCUUCAACAUCUUAUUGGCAUUAAAAAUGUAUAGUCCUCUCUUCCUUAAUUUUAGAGUCCAACAAAUCCUAUAAUAUAAAUUGCUAAUAAUUAAUGAAUCACCCGCCUUGCAGUCCCUGCUUCUCUUCAUAGAUGUUAAAAUAAAAUAAAAUAAAAUAAAAAAAUAAAAAAAAGGAACAAAGGAUCCUUUCUCUCAUAACAAUUGAUUCAAACCAAACUUCAAGAAGACAUUUGCACAAGAUCAUGACUCCUCAUUUGGAUGAAGCAACUAAUGGAAACAAAUUUAGUCUCAUUCCUAACAACCAUAUGAACGAAGAAGUUUUACAGAAAAAUGCUCCACUCAACUACUUUCGGACAUUACCAAAAGAGCAAGGAGUAGAAUACAGAAGAAUUGAACACAAUGAAAGCC